Molecule: long non-coding RNA, 4526 nt
Filed under: Phoenix dactylifera (date palm)
Lineage: Eukaryota; Viridiplantae; Streptophyta; Magnoliopsida; Arecales; Arecaceae
Description: long non-coding RNA (PDAC_LNC001368)
Source: RNAcentral
CAAAACUACAUUUGCUUUUUGUUUUUUUAAUAUAAAUACAGAAAUGUACAUGAGUCAGAUGUUAAUAUUUGUGCAUCCAGAUGUAGAAGCGAAUUUAGAUGAAUAUUAUCUGAUAUUUUGUCAUUAACCUUAAAAAAAAGAUGAGACAUUUCAAAGGGAUAUGAGAGCUCUACUUUCAUGCUUCCUGGAAAUACAUCUACCAAUAGGCAUGUCCCCGAAUGCCAGGUGAUAUUCUCAGAUCAUGCUGAAAAGGGUCGAGUUAAGCCCCUGUUUGACCUCUAAAACCAGGAAAGGAUGAAAGCUUGACAGAGAAGCUAUGUGGCAUUUAUUGCUCACGUUAAAACUUAACAAUUCUUCGGAAAUCAACAGACCACAAGGCUCUUUUCAACCACGCACAUAAUCCAACUCAUUGAGCCCAAAGGAGCCAGAAAUACUCUAUUGGCUGCAGUCUGCAGAUGUGGUGCGCCCCAAGGUAAACAGAAAAGUUGCAGCACAAGUUCAGUGUUCAGUUGUUCGAAACGUCAACAGAAUAAGUUUAUUGUUCGAACCAAAGAACAAGACUAGGUUAUCAGCUGGCAUAUGAACAUACGACAUAAACAAUGUAUCAAAAUCUUGAUAUUUUCUCAAGCCCAAGAGUUCUGCAUUCAACUCUAACAGUGUAUGCAGGUGAUUGAUCAUGCAUCUGAAAUACAAGAAUCCAUCACUGAAGUGGGGUCAACCCGACAACACCUGCGCGUGCAGUAGAGUGAUUAAAGGAAAGGUUGACAUGAACUACAUAAAGUCUGAAUGAUUAUAAUGUCAACCAAAACAACAAAUAUUGAAUGCAGACAAUAAAUCUGGAAGCAGCUUGAGCCAAUGCAAAACUUCCUACAAUCUCACAAUUAUUGGCAUUAAAAUGACAUUUAUUGUGCCAGGCACAUUAUUAGAAAUAGAAUUAGAAAUUGAAACCCAAAAUAGCCAUUGCAGGAUGCAUUUAUUUCUUAUGUGCAUAUUACCAGCUGAGAAUGGAAGUUUUUACUUCAAUCUUAUCGAGAUAAUUUAAAUCAUGUCUCUUCAUAAGCAUAUGAAGGACUGUUCAUUGAAUCAUUGGGCUAAUUUAUUUCCAGCUCAGUCAGGUAUCACACUGUGUUAGUUCCUGAACCACAACAAACCACCAAAACUUCAUUCAGCUCCCCAAAUUCAUCCUUCUACAUAUGCAUCUGGUAGCUCUACAUGCCACGAAAAGUGGGUUAACAUUAAACAAAAUAUUCAUCCAAGAAAUGGAAAAUCUAUACUUUAAAGCAACAACCAUAACCAUUAGUCUUUCUUUAUAAUAAAAUUCAGAUGCUUAAUCUUGUGAGAAUAAAUCCAGCAGCUUAGUUGAAAGACCUUCCAUGAUAGUCGGCAUGCUCGGUGUGGUAUCGAGUAUAUUGUGCUAUUGCCAUAUUGGCGCGCAACAUCAGCAUGGUAUCAAGGCUUUGAGACUCAGAUCUUAGCCAUAUUUGUGGGUGUUUGAUUCCAAGAUGGAUCAAGAUCUUGGUUAUCUCGCCGUGGCAAAAAGGACAAGGUUAAGAUAUGUCACGAUCUCAGUUAAUGUUUCAGGAAUCUUAAUAUCAAAAUCUCAAUAGAUAAAGUAAAUUGAGAUGGACUUUGUUCCUCUCUCCUCUUGACUCUAAAUCAAUAAUACGGCAUCCAAAUCAAAGAUCCACAUCACUGUUCAUGAUCUAUACCACUAAAAAUAUCUAGAAAUAAAAAAUCAUGUAUUUUAAUAGUCUCUAACCUCGAUAUCAUAUAGACACAAAAAGGGGUGGCUUCCGUUAUGUUAACAUGUUAACAUUCAUGAUNNNNNNNNNNNNNNNNNNNNNNNNNNCUAUAUAUGUUAAAACAUAUAUAUAGAUCGAAAAUUAAUAGAUUUUAAUGCUUGGAGCAUAGCAAAACGUUAUCUCAUAUUCUUUUUUUUGCUUAAGAAACAUUAUCUCAUAUCAUUACAAUUGUUUUUUAAAAUAUAUUUUUUGUUUCUGGGCAUUUUCACUGAUACAGAACAUGAUCAAUGGUGUCCAUCUUCAAUUUGGUUGCCCCAUUAUUGAGUUUGGGGAAGUAAUGGGUAGAUAACUUCUCUUCUCAAGAAGAGCAAAAUCCAUCUUAAGUAACCUGGAGAUUAAUUACUAUCUUAAGAAAUUAGUAUGAACUAAAAAACUUGUUUUAUACGGUAAAAACUGAAUAUGAAAUAUUUGUUGAUAUUUUUGAUACUAUCUUAAGUAUUUUUGGUAAAAACUAGUGACAUUGCCCACUUAAAUAAAAUUUUUCAGUAGAGCAGAAUCCAGUCUGAAGUAAGCCUUUUUACGGUUUAUAAUAUAUUGCACCUCCAAGGCACAUCAUACACCAGGAGUUGUGUGGAAGAUAUCCUGCAUUGCCUCCCCUAGGAUGUACAAGAGUUGGAAGGAGAUUCUCGCAAUCUGAAAACAACUGGAUGUGAUAUUAGCACUAUCAAAGUCAAAAGAAUGAUCUUGAAGGCGCCUUGAGUGACUACAAGCGCAGGCAUGAGGAAAAACAUAUCCACUUAAAAGUUGCUUUUAAACUGCUUCUGACGGUGAUUACUAGGUGUCAUUAUCAUGUCUCUGAUGUCUGUAUGGUUUCCUUGUCAGGCUAACAGCAUCACAUAGCUGCCUUCCAGAUUCCCAUAUUGAUGUACAUUGAUCUUCCAGCUUCUUUGAUAAUAAGUGCACAGCUGGUCCCCUAACCGUUGAGUGAAACACUUGUAAAGCCUUCUCUAACAGUAUCUUGUGCAAAGUAGUAGGGUAACAAGCAGGCAACUCUUUCAGGUGAAACUCUUUAGCAGCUGGAAGAGCUCUUUGGCAUCCAGAUAUACAAAACUUCAUGUUAAGCCCCUUAAUACUUUCCAAACAAGAUAUCGCAGCUUCAAUAGCACUGGUUUCUGGUGCAGAAAUCUGCUCAUCCUGUAUCUCAUUUGCACUUCUUUUAUGAGGCAUUGUUCUCACAUUUCCAAUUUCCUCCAUAAAGCCAUCUUUUACAGAUAGCAAAGUAUCAACAAUCACAUUACUCAAAGACAACCAGUUUUCCGAACUUGGGAGUUCAAGGGAACUAACUGGUUUUCCUGCUGCAGUCGAUGCUGAUGCUGCAGCUACCAUGAAUGCCANNNNNNNNNNNNNNNNNNNNNNNNNNNNNNNNNNNNNNNNNNNNNNNNNNNNNNNNNNNNNNNGAAAAUAUGAAGUCGAAUGUCCUCAUUACUCAAUGGCUGGCAAUUGUUUUCAAGUGAAAACUCAUCCAACAUGGUUUUCGAAUUAAGAGCCUCUGCCAAAGAUCUGUAGCAACAAAAUCCAAAGAUUCACCCCUCGGGUUCACAGACCUGUCCAACAGUGCAACAACCCUUGAUGCAUCAAGGGUAGACGGGAAAGGAGCUCACACGACCAAUGCCUUUUGAACUAUGAUGAGUAGACUCUCUAUGCCGACCAGCGUGCGGCAUUUCUUGAUCAAAAAACGGGCCUGUGUUUCUAAAGAUGAAUGCAGCUUCAUCCUGAAACUGGCAUUACUUGCAGAACCAGCUAGCAUGAUCACAGAACCAAUAUCUUUGAAGUUUAAGCUUAAUCUUGGCAAUCCACCCACGCUGGAGGGCUGAUUUAGGGAAGAAGCAUCAGCAGAAUCCUCCAUGUUGCUUGCUGGAUUUGGUCCAUCUAAGAUUUCAUCACUGAAAACAAAGAGAAUGACAGGAAUACACUGCCCUGGCAGCACUAACGGACGAGAGCCCGUGCCUGAUAUUAAAGAAGCUGCCAGGCCAUGGCAGUUUGUGGUCCCACCCCGUCGGUCUAGUGGGGAAACAGAAGAGAUUCUCUGAAGAAAUAUAAUGACAUGAAUAACCUGGUUCAAAUUCAGCUGCUAAUUUCAGACUGAGGAACCAAAUUGUUUUCAAAAAUAAUAAAGGUCUAUUGCAGUUCCUGAUGUUUGUUAGCGUAAGGUUUUCUUUGAGGAAUUGGGGCUAAGAUCUAAAAGUUUCAUAGCAAGUCCUUCAUGUAGUCAAAAAUUAAGUGAAUCUACUAAAGGAAACUAAUCAAAACCUGACACGAUCACUAGCUUCAAUAUCAUAAUUCAAAUUGUUUUCAAAAUCGGAAACGUCUUACUGGUUAUUGAUGUUUGCUAACAUGAAGUUUUUCUUGUAAGAAUGGAAGGCAAAGUGCACGAAGUACGAGACGAAAUCCGUAACUUUUGUACUAUAAACCUUCAUCUGAUCAAGAACCAAAUCAAAUUCAGCAAAGAAAACAGGGCAGAACCUAAACCAAGUCAAACACAAGGAACCUUGUAACGCAGCAGCAGAAAAGCAACAAGAUCGAAAGGAAACAUCUCACAGAGAACAUAAAGAGCAUCCCACAGAGAUCCUCGGCUUCGCAUUCCUCCAGAACCGACGCGGACUCAUCUCCCCCGCCAUCUGUUCGAGACGAGGCCAGCAGCAAUAGCGGCGACAAAGACGAAGAGAACUGCAGAAAAGGCAUCCCUUUCUCCGCUUCCGGUUACCGGUAAUAACUGAUCCUCCG